CCUGCCCUUCUGUUCCUCCAAACCUGUGCUGCUAAGACAUGAAAGGAGGAGGCUGGACAGUGGAACUAUGGAAAAACCAUCUUCACAAAGCCCAUCAGCAGUUGUGCUGAUGACAUCAAGGAUGGGGAGUUUUGCUGCAUGGACAGGAGCCAGGCAGUCCUUGGGGACAGGAGUUGCUCCUCUCCUUCCUUUAUCUACUGUGUUUACAGAGACAGACAAGGAUCAGUCUCGCAGGCUAAAAGAGAAGCAUGAGGAUCAACAAAUGUAAGGACCUGGCAAAUAUGGACAGUUUGGGAAAGAGCCAGUCAUCUUCCACCAAAUCAUGGAUGGUAUUCUUUUCUUUGCUGCAGUCUUUUUUCUCUAAGUGAACUUCAGAAGCAUCCAGGUUACCAUUUUGCCUGUGUUCACCGUGGCUGGCCAGCAGCUGUUUUGGUAGCAAGGAACAGAACGAGCUGUGUGCUCUCCUCCACACCCGUGUACAGGCGUGCUGGGAUCUGCGUGGCUGAGGCAUUUCCUUCCAGGGCUCAGUGGGCAGGUUACCCAGUCAUUUGGGCUGAGAGGCAUGAGGGCAGGGCAGGACGGACCUGGCCAGACUUGCCCUCUUCCUUUUGCACUGCACUCACAGAGGACUGUAAGAGAAAGGAAGAGGUUUUUGUACUCAAAACUGAAAGAAAACAUCUCCCUGAACCUACCAAUAUUAUUUUUUUAUGAUCUCGAGCAUUGCUGUAGCCUUCUGCACCUCUAAAUUAACACUUGCAAAUCAUGUGGAGGUGCUCAUAAGGUGACUUAUUUGACUUUUGGUUUCCAGUAAUUUAAUUUUAUUGUUAAAUAUGUAACAUACUGCUUUGUCUUUGACAAAAACAUGUAGCUGCAAAGGAGAGAAUUUUUCACCAGUAGGGAUGAAAUGCCUUGUACCAGGCUGCAGUAGAACUUCACCCAUCCUCUACCACCCUGCCAAGGUCACAGGUGGCUGAGCAGGCGUGGGGUCAGGGCUGCCUCCACACUGGGGAAGAAGCACCUCAUGCCCCAGCUUUGUCUUCCAUCAGCCUCUUUGGCAAGGAAGGGAUUUUUCCUUUGCUUGGAUUCAUGCCAAAGAAAGAAAAUAUUUCUCCCAACAGCACCCAGGAGCUACAGAGGCUUUGAGGACAGGCAGUUCUGCCUCACUUAGGACCAGCAGUCUCUGUUACAGCACUUGAUUUUAUGCUGUUUUUAAAAUGUUUGCAAUGUUUUAUGCAUUUGUCUGUCUUUCCUUAACCAAAAUAUAGAAGUGUGUAAAUAGGAAAGGAGAGGCAGAGAGAGUCCAUCAAAGACCUUGUACAACUAAUGCCAAAGGAGCAGCUGUGUGGGGUGAUGUGAAUUGGUAUAUGAGGAGGUGCUUUCUUUUCAUAAUGGUUUGGGGUUUUCUGAUUUUGGUUUUUUGGUGGGUUUUUUUGGUGGUGGGUUUUUUGGUUUUUUUUUUGUUUGUUUGUUUGGUUGUUUGGUUGGUUUUGAGGGGUUUUUUGUUGGUUUUGGUGAUUUUUUUUAAUGGCUAAUACAUUUGUUGCUGAAGGUUUAUUUUUAGCUAGAAGAGAAAUCAUUGUUAUGCCAUGGCAACCAGAACUCGGAGUUACUGGCUGUGAAGGGAGGCCUGGAAAAUCAUUACUUAUAGUCAUAAAUGACUAAUACUGCCAAAGGAUUUGAAAAAUGGGUGGGAUGUUCUGCUGGAGUUGUGAGGAAAUAAGUCUUUCCCUUUUGAGAUGCAAUAAAACUCUCCUGCAACCCGUGCUUGAGGAUCCAGCUGCAAUGCUGAGCUGAUCAGCUGGGUAGGUUUUUCCCCUUCCUCACAGGGGUUUGUUUAAUGUGUGCUGAGCCAAGUCCUGGCUGCAGAGCUCCUGGUGCUUGUUGGGAUGUUGGGGUCAUCCCUCACAUGUACAGGCAGAACAUCUGGACCUCUCUGGGUCCAGAUGCCCAUCAUGCCUAGUGGUUUUCCAGCAGUGUCAAAGAGAAGAGCUGCACAGAGGCUAACGUGAGCCCCAGA
Molecule: long non-coding RNA, 2017 nt
Organism: Passer domesticus (house sparrow)
Lineage: Eukaryota; Metazoa; Chordata; Aves; Passeriformes; Passeridae
Exons: 3
Source: RefSeq, a predicted model, not a curated record